UCACAACCUAUCAAGCUGCCAACUAUAAAUCCACAUAAUACCACAUUUCGGCCACCAUGCCCACCGGACUCCACCACCAUAAAUGUGAUUGUUUUGGACAUAUUGGUGACCAAUGCUAUGGAGGAGGAUAUUGGGGAGAGUGAGGCGACGCUGGUGGUGGUAGAGUCUUAUGUGUUGUGGUCGAAAAGUGGUGCUAUAUGGAUCUAUAGGUGGUGGCUUGGUAGGGUUGUGAAAGUGGCGGUAGUGGAGAAN
RNAcentral lists this long non-coding RNA (252 nucleotides) under Olea europaea (common olive). Its description in RNAcentral is "long non-coding RNA (OEUR_LNC004264)". Lineage: Eukaryota; Viridiplantae; Streptophyta; Magnoliopsida; Lamiales; Oleaceae. The record is from RNAcentral.